Molecule: ribosomal RNA, 1344 nt
Filed under: uncultured bacterium
Lineage: Bacteria
Description: bacterial SSU rRNA
Rfam family: Bacterial small subunit ribosomal RNA
Source: RNAcentral
GAUGAACGCUGGCGGCGUGCUUAACACAUGCAAGUCGAACGAUGAAGCCCAGCUUGCUGGGUGGAUUAGUGGCGAACGGGUGAGUAACACGUGAGUAACCUGCCCUUAACUCUGGGAUAAGCCUGGGAAACUGGGUCUAAUACCGGAUAGGAGCGCCUACCGCAUGGUGGGUGUUGGAAAGAUUUAUCGGUUUUGGAUGGACUCGCGGCCUAUCAGCUUGUUGGUGAGGUAAUGGCUCACCAAGGCGACGACGGGUAGCCGGCCUGAGAGGGUGACCGGCCACACUGGGACUGAGACACGGCCCAGACUCCUACGGGAGGCAGCAGUGGGGAAUAUUGCACAAUGGGCGAAAGCCUGAUGCAGCGACGCCGCGUGAGGGAUGACGGCCUUCGGGUUGUAAACCUCUUUCAGUAGGGAAGAAGCGAAAGUGACGGUACCUGCAGAAGAAGCACCGGCUAACUACGUGCCAGCAGCCGCGGUAAUACGUAGGGUGCGAGCGUUAUCCGGAAUUAUUGGGCGUAAAGAGCUCGUAGGCGGUUUGUCGCGUCUGUCGUGAAAGUCCGGGGCUUAACCCCCGGAUCUGCGGUGGGUACGGGCAGACUAGAGUGCAGUAGGGGAGACUGGAAUUCCUGGUGUAGCGGUGGAAUGCGCAGAUAUCAGGAGGAACACCGAUGGCGAAGGCAGGUCUCUGGGCUGUAACUGACGCUGAGGAGCGAAAGCAUGGGGAGCGAACAGGAUUAGAUACCCUGGUAGUCCAUGCCGUAAACGUUGGGCACUAGGUGUGGGGACCAUUCCACGGUUUCCGCGCCGCAGCUAACGCAUUAAGUGCCCCGCCUGGGGAGUACGGCCGCAAGGCUAAAACUCAAAGGAAUUGACGGGGGCCCGCACAGGCGGCGGAGCAUGCGGAUUAAUUCGAUGCAACGCGAAGAACCUUACCAAGGCUUGACAUGUUCCCGAUCGCCGUAGAGAUACGGUUUCCCCUUUGGGGCGGGUUCACAGGUGGUGCAUGGUUGUCGUCAGCUCGUGUCGUGAGAUGUUGGGUUAAGUCCCGCAACGAGCGCAACCCUCGUUCCAUGUUGCCAGCACGUCGUGGUGGGGACUCAUGGGAGACUGCCGGGGUCAACUCGGAGGAAGGUGAGGACGACGUCAAAUCAUCAUGCCCCUUAUGUCUUGGGCUUCACGCAUGCUACAAUGGCCGGUACAAUGGGUUGCGAUACUGUGAGGUGGAGCUAAUCCCAAAAAGCCGGUCUCAGUUCGGAUUGGGGUCUGCAACUCGACCCCAUGAAGUCGGAGUCGCUAGUAAUCGCAGAUCAGCAACGCUGCGGUGAAUACGUUCCCGGGCCU